UUCCUACGGGGCGCAGCAGUGGGGGAUAUUGCACAAUGGGGGGAACCCUGAUGCAGCGACGCCGCGUGGGUGAAGGAGCGUUUCGGCGCGUAAAGCCCUAUCGGCAGGGAAGAAGGAGGACGGUACCUGACUAAGAAGCCCCGGCUAACUACGGGCCAGCAGCCGCGGUAAUACGUAGGGGGCAAGCGUUAUCCGGAUUCACUGGGUGUAAAGGGAGCGUAGACGGCCAUGCAAGCCUGGAGUGAAAGCCCGGGGCCCAAACCCGGGACUGCUCUGGGAACUGUGCGGCUGGAGUGUGGGAGGGG
Molecule: ribosomal RNA, 305 nt
Filed under: uncultured bacterium
Lineage: Bacteria
Description: bacterial SSU rRNA
Rfam family: Bacterial small subunit ribosomal RNA
Source: RNAcentral